AGUGAACGCUGGCGGUAGGCCUAACACAUGCAAGUCGAACGAGUGGCGGACGGGUGAGGAAUGUAUGGGAAACUGCUCUAUGGUGGGGGAUAACUACGGGAAACGUUAGCUAAUACCGCAUACGAUUGAAUGAGCCGAUGUGGGAUUAGCUAGUUGGUGGGGUAACGGCCCACCAAGGCGACGAUCCGUAGCAGGCCUGAGAGGAUGAUCGGCCACACUGGGACUGAGACACGGUCCAGACUCCUACGGGAGGCAGCAGUGGGGAAUAUUGGACAAUGGGCGAAAGCCUGACCCAGCCAUACCGCGUGAGUGAAGAAGGCCUUCGGGUUGUAAAGCCCUUUUGUUAGGAAAGCGGUACCUAAACAGUAAGCACCGGCUAACUACGUGCCAGCAGCCGCGGUAAUAC
RNAcentral lists this ribosomal RNA (406 nucleotides) under uncultured bacterium. Its description in RNAcentral is "partial 16S ribosomal RNA". It matches the Rfam family "Bacterial small subunit ribosomal RNA", at positions 29 to 526 of the family's 1533-position model. The record is from RNAcentral.